This 1442-nucleotide ribosomal RNA is filed under the name uncultured bacterium. Its description in RNAcentral is "16S ribosomal RNA". It matches the Rfam family "Bacterial small subunit ribosomal RNA". The record is from RNAcentral.
CUGGCUCAGGAUGAACGCUGGCGGCGUGCUUAACACAUGCAAGUCGAGCGAUGAAGUUUCCUUCGGGAAACGGAUUAGCGGCGGACGGGUGAGUAACACGUGGGUAACCUGCCUCAUAGAGUGGAAUAGCCUUCCGAAAGGAAGAUUAAUACCGCAUAAUGUUGAAAGAUGGCAUCAUCAUUCAACCAAAGGAGCAAUCCGCUAUGAGAUGGACCCGCGGCGCAUUAGCUAGUUGGUGGGGUAACGGCCUACCAAGGCGACGAUGCGUAGCCGACCUGAGAGGGUGAUCGGCCACAUUGGGACUGAGACACGGCCCAGACUCCUACGGGAGGCAGCAGUGGGGAAUAUUGCACAAUGGGGGAAACCCUGAUGCAGCAACGCCGCGUGAGUGAUGAAGGUUUUCGGAUCGUAAAGCUCUGUCUUUGGGGAAGGUAAUGACGGUACCCAAGGAGGAAGCCACGGCUAACUACGUGCCAGCAGCUGCGGUAAUACGUAGGUGGCGAGCGUUAUCCGGAUUUACUGGGCGUAAAGGGAGCGUAGGCGGAUGAUUAAGUGGGAUGUGAAAUACCCGGGCUCAACUUGGGUGCUGCAUUCCAAACUGGUUAUCUAGAGUGCAGGAGAGGAGAGUGGAAUUCCUAGUGUAGCGGUGAAAUGCGUAGAGAUUAGGAAGAACACCAGUGGCGAAGGCGACUCUCUGGACUGUAACUGACGCUGAGGCUCGAAAGCGUGGGGAGCAAACAGGAUUAGAUACCCUGGUGGUCCACGCCGUAAACGAUGAAUACUAGGUGUGGGGGUUUCAACACCUCCGUGCCGCCGCUAACGCAUUAAGUAUUCCGCCUGGGGAGUACGGUCGCAAGAUUAAAACUCAAAGGAAUUGACGGGGACCCGCACAAGUAGCGGAGCAUGUGGUUUAAUUCGAAGCAACGCGAAGAACCUUACCUACACUUGACAUCCCUUGCAUUACUCUUAAUCGAGGAAAUCCCUUCGGGGACAAGGUGACAGGUGGUGCAUGGUUGUCGUCAGCUCGUGUCGUGAGAUGUUGGGUUAAGUCCCGCAACGAGCGCAACCCUUGUCGUUAGUUACUACCAUUAAGUUGAGGACUCUAGCGAGACUGCCUGGGUUAACCAGGAGGAAGGUGGGGAUGACGUCAAAUCAUCAUGCCCCUUAUGUGUAGGGCUACACACGUGCUACAAUGGCUGGUACAGAGAGAUGCAAUACCGCGAGGUGGAGCCAAACUUUAAAACCAGUCUCAGUUCGGAUUGUAGGCUGAAACUCGCCUACAUGAAGCUGGAGUUACUAGUAAUCGCGAAUCAGAAUGUCGCGGUGAAUACGUUCCCGGGUCUUGUACACACCGCCCGUCACACCAUGAGAGUUGGCAAUACCCGAAGUCCGUGAGCUAACCGCAAGGAGGCAGCGGCCGAAGGUAGGGUCAGCGAUUGGGG